AUGGGGUUGCUCCUGCUGCUUCACGUCCUGCUCGUCGCGGUGGCGGCGAGGGCCCCGGCGGCGCUGGCGUGGGGCAAGGAGGGCCACUACAUGACCUGCAAGAUCGCCGACGGUUUCCUGACGAGCGAGGCGUCGACGGGGGUGAAGGCUCUCCUCCCGUCGUGGGCCAACGGCGAGCUCGCGGAGGUGUGCUCGUGGGCGGACAGCCAGCGCUUCCGGUACCGGUGGUCCAGCCCCCUCCACUUCGCCGACACCCCCGGCGACUGCGAGUUCAGCUACGCCAGGGACUGUCAUGACACCAAGGGUAACAAGAACGUGUGCGUGGUCGGGGCCAUCAACAACUACACGGCCGCGCUCCAGGACUCGUCCAGCCCAUUUGACCCGACGGAGAGCCUGAUGUUCCUGGCGCACUUCGUGGGCGACGUGCACCAGCCGCUGCACUGCGGCCACGUCGACGACCUCGGCGGCAACACCAUCAAACUCCGCUGGUACAAGAGGAAGAGCAACCUGCACCACGUGUGGGACUCGGACGUGAUCACGCAGGCCAUGAAGGACUUCUUCGACAAGGACCAGGACGCCAUGAUCGAGUCCAUCCAGCGCAACAUCACCGACGACUGGUCCAGCGAGGAGAAGCAGUGGGAGACGUGCCGCAGCAAAACCACCACCUGCGCUGAAAAGUACGCCCAGGAGAGCGCGUUGCUGGCAUGCGACGCGUACGAGGGCGUCGAGCAGGACGACACCCUAGGAGAUGAGUACUACUUCAAGGCGCUGCCGGUCGUUCAGAAGAGGCUCGCCCAGGGGGGCGUGAGGCUGGCGGCGAUCCUCAACCGGAUUUUCAGCGGGAACGGCAGGCUGCAGAGCAUCUGA
This 867-nucleotide ribosomal RNA is filed under the name Triticum aestivum (bread wheat). RNAcentral's name for it is "partial small subunit ribosomal RNA". The record is from RNAcentral. Lineage: Eukaryota; Viridiplantae; Streptophyta; Magnoliopsida; Poales; Poaceae.